Ictidomys tridecemlineatus (thirteen-lined ground squirrel) is the source of this 107-nucleotide small nuclear RNA. Lineage: Eukaryota; Metazoa; Chordata; Mammalia; Rodentia; Sciuridae. The record is from Ensembl.
GUUCUCACUUCUGUAGCACAUAUACUAAAAUAGAAAUGAUACAGAGAAUAUUAGUGUGUCCUCUGUGCAAGGAUGACAUGCAAUUCCUAAAGCAUUACAUAUUUUUU